RNAcentral lists this ribosomal RNA (482 nucleotides) under uncultured Propionibacterium sp. Its description in RNAcentral is "bacterial SSU rRNA". It matches the Rfam family "Bacterial small subunit ribosomal RNA", at positions 1 to 499 of the family's 1533-position model. The record is from RNAcentral. Lineage: Bacteria; Bacillati; Actinomycetota; Actinomycetes; Propionibacteriales; Propionibacteriaceae.
UAGAGUUUUGGAUCUGGCUCAGGACGAACGCUGGCGGCGUGCUUAACACAUGCAAGUCGAACGGAAAGGCCCUGCUUUUGUGGGGUGCUCGAGUGGCGAACGGGUGAGUAACACGUGAGUAACCUGCCCUUGACUUUGGGAUAACUUCAGGAAACUGGGGCUAAUACCGGAUAGGAGCUCCUGCUGCAUGGUGGGGGUUGGAAAGUUUCGGCGGUUGGGGAUGGACUCGCGGCUUAUCAGCUUGUUGGUGGGGUAGUGGCUUACCAAGGCUUUGACGGGUAGCCGGCCUGAGAGGGUGACCGGCCACAUUGGGACUGAGAUACGGCCCAGACUCCUACGGGAGGCAGCAGUGGGGAAUAUUGCACAAUGGGCGGAAGCCUGAUGCAGCAACGCCGCGUGCGGGAUGACGGCCUUCGGGUUGUAAACCGCUUUCGCCUGUGACGAAGCGUGAGUGACGGUAAUGGGUAAAGAAGCACCGGCUA